This 219-nucleotide long non-coding RNA is filed under the name Lathyrus oleraceus (garden pea). RNAcentral's name for it is "Pisum sativum (pea) long non-coding RNA (PSAT_LNC000413)". The record is from RNAcentral. Lineage: Eukaryota; Viridiplantae; Streptophyta; Magnoliopsida; Fabales; Fabaceae.
CAUGCCUUGAGAUUUGGAUUUUGUAUCAACACCCUAACAUGACUGCCACAUAGGUUGCUUGUCUUAUGAUCACUAACUUGUUACAUCUAACCUCAUAACGUUUAUCUUAUGCACUUUACAUCUUUGCAACUUACCUUAUGUCAUUUAGUUUAUGCAAUAUGCUCUUGUGCCUUUACUUUAGGCAAUUUACUUAUGUGCCUUUACUUUAUGCAAUUUACC